CUGGUGUCCUGACACCCACCCUUCACGACCGGGCAGAAUUAGCAAGUGUCCUGUAGUGAAUGGGUGUGGUUUUAGUGCACACAG
The sequence is a microRNA precursor, 84 nucleotides long. It matches the Rfam family "mir-BART12 microRNA precursor family".